Molecule: non-coding RNA, 149 nt
Organism: Rhizobium tibeticum
Lineage: Bacteria; Pseudomonadati; Pseudomonadota; Alphaproteobacteria; Hyphomicrobiales; Rhizobiaceae
Source: Rfam
CCGGCUGUUCCAUCAGCCGUUCCCUACCCGGACAUGCGGAGCCGGUAACGGCUCGGUGUGAAGCUCUGGGGACAACGUAGCCGCCGGAUAUCCGGUACGUCGAGCCGCGAGGCAAGGCGGAAUCUGCCAGCACGAAGGCGGAGAGGAGC